CAGUAGCCACGGGAAUACAGAGGGUGCGAGCGUUAAUCGGAUUUACUGGGCGUAAAGCGUGCGUAGGCGGCUUCUUAAGUCGGAUGUGAAAUCCCUGAGCUUAACUUAGGAAUUGCAUUCGAUACUGGGAAGCUAGAGUAUGGGAGAGGAUGGUAGAAUUCCAGGUGUAGCGGUGAAAUGCGUAGAGAUCUGGAGGAAUACCGAUGGCGAAGGCAGCCAUCUGGCCUAAUACUGACGCUGAGUUACGAAAGCAUGGGGAGCAAACAGGAUUAGAUACCCCAGUAGUCCCUGUCUCUUAUAA
Molecule: ribosomal RNA, 301 nt
Filed under: uncultured bacterium
Lineage: Bacteria
Description: partial 16S ribosomal RNA
Rfam family: Bacterial small subunit ribosomal RNA
Source: RNAcentral